GGCUCAAUGGUCCAGUGGUAAGAUACUCGCUUCGGGUUAGUACUUAUUGUUCUUCCCAAUCCCCUUAAAAGGGGUUUGAAAAUGUGAGUGGUCCCGGGUUCGAAUCCCGGUUGAGCCC
Non-coding RNA from Daldinia caldariorum, 118 nucleotides. Lineage: Eukaryota; Fungi; Ascomycota; Sordariomycetes; Xylariales; Hypoxylaceae. The record is from the annotation of a RefSeq genome assembly.